This 272-nucleotide ribosomal RNA is filed under the name unidentified archaeon. Its description in RNAcentral is "16S ribosomal RNA". It matches the Rfam family "Archaeal small subunit ribosomal RNA", at positions 1050 to 1325 of the family's 1478-position model. The record is from RNAcentral.
ACCUGCCCCCACAGUUGCUAACGAGACAUGUCGAUCGAGCACACUGUGGGGACUGCUCUCGUAAGUGGAGAGGAAGGUGCAGGCAACGAUAGGUCUGUAUGCUCCGAAUCUUCUAGGCUACACGCGCGCAACAAUGGUGGAGACAAUGGGAUGCGACACCGAAAGUAAAGCUAAACCUCUAAACUCCAUCCAAGUCCAGAUCGAGGCCUGCAACCCGGCCUCGUGACGCCGGAAUCCCUAGUAAUCGGCUGUCAACAUCCGCCGGUGAAUAU